This 311-nucleotide ribosomal RNA is filed under the name uncultured bacterium. RNAcentral's name for it is "bacterial SSU rRNA". It matches the Rfam family "Bacterial small subunit ribosomal RNA", at positions 28 to 334 of the family's 1533-position model. The record is from RNAcentral.
GACGAACGCUGGCGGCGCGCCUAACACAUGCAAGUCGAACGAGCGAGAGAGAGCUUGCUUUCUCAAGCGAGUGGCGAACGGGUGAGUAACGCGUGAGGAACCUGCCUCAAAGAGGGGGACAACAGUUGGAAACGACUGCUAAUACCGCAUAAGCCCACGACCCGGCAUCGGGUUGAGGGAAAAGGAGCAAUCCGCUUUGAGAUGGCCUCGCGUCCGAUUAGCUAGUUGGUGAGGUAAAGGCUCACCAAGGCGACGAUCGGUAGCUGGUCUGAGAGGACGACCAGCCACACUGGGACUGAGACACGGCCCAG